AGCGUACACGGUGGAUGCCUAGGCAGUCAGAGGCGAUGAAGGGCGUGCUAAUCUGCGAAAAGCGUCGGUAAGGUGAUAUGAACCGUUAUAACCGGCGAUACCCGAAUGGGGAAACCCAGUGUGUUUCGACACACUAUCAUGUCAUGAAUACAUAGUGGCAUGAGGCGAACCGGGGGAACUGAAACAUCUAAGUACCCCGAGGAAAAGAAAUCAACCGAGAUUCCCCCAGUAGCGGCGAGCGAACGGGGAGGAGCCCAGAACCUGAAUCGGCUUGUGUGUUAGUGGAAGCGUCUGGAAAGUCGCGCAGCAAAGGGUGAUAGCCCCGUACACUAAAAUGCACAGGUCGUGAGUUCGAUGAGUAGGGCGGGACACGUGACAUCCUGUCUGAAUAUGGGGGGACCAUCCUCCAAGGCUAAAUACUCCUGACUGACCGAUAGUGAACCAGUACCGUGAGGGAAAGGCGAAAAGAACCCCGGCGAGGGGAGUGAAAUAGAACCUGAAACCGUGUACGUACAAGCAGUGGGAGCACCUUCGUGGUGUGACUGCGUACCUUUUGUAUAAUGGGUCAGCGACUUAUAUUUUGUAGCAAGGUUAACCGUAUAGGGGAGCCGUAGGGAAACCGAGUCUUAACUGGGCGAUUAGUUGCAAGGUAUAGACCCGAAACCCGGUGAUCUAGCCAUGGGCAGGUUGAAGGUUGGGUAACACUAACUGGAGGACCGAACCGACUAAUGUUGAAAAAUUAGCGGAUGACUUGUGGCUGGGGGUGAAAGGCCAAUCAAACCGGGAGAUAGCUGGUUCUCCCCGAAAGCUAUUUAGGUAGCGCCUCGUGAACUCAUCUUCGGGGGUAGAGCACUGUUUCGGCUAGGGGGCCAUCCCGGCUUACCAAACCGAUGCAAACUCCGAAUACCGAAGAAUGUUAUCACGGGAGACACACGGCGGGUGCUAACGUCCGUCGUGAAGAGGGAAACAACCCAGACCGCCAGCUAAGGUCCCAAAGUCAUGGUUAAGUGGGAAACGAUGUGGGAAGGCACAGACAGCCAGGAUGUUGGCUUAGAAGCAGCCAUCAUUUAAAGAAAGCGUAAUAGCUCACUGGUCGAGUCGGCCUGCGCGGAAGAUGUAACGGGGCUAAACCAUGCACCGAAGCUGCGGCAGCGACGCUUAGGCGUUGUUGGGUAGGGGAGCGUUCUGUAAGCCGUUGAAGGUGGCCUGUGAGGGUUGCUGGAGGUAUCAGAAGUGCGAAUGCUGACAUAAGUAACGAUAAAGCGGGUGAAAAGCCCGCUCGCCGGAAGACCAAGGGUUCCUGUCCAACGUUAAUCGGGGCAGGGUGAGUCGACCCCUAAGGCGAGGCUGAAAAGCGUAGUCGAUGGGAAACAGGUUAAUAUUCCUGUACUUGGUGUUACUGCGAAGGGGGGACGGAGAAGGCUAGGCUGGCCGGGCGACGGUUGUCCCGGUUUAAGCGUGUAGGGGGUGUGACCUGGUAAAUCCGGUUGCAUANAACCCUGAGGCGUGAUGACGAUGCACUACGGUGCAGAAGUAGUUGAUGCCCUGCUUCCAGGAAAAUCCUCUAAGCUCCAGGUAACAUUAAAUCGUACCCCAAACCGACACAGGUGGUCAGGUAGAGAAUACCAAGGCGCUUGAGAGAACUCGGGUGAAGGAACUAGGCAAAAUGGUGCCGUAACUUCGGGAGAAGGCACGCUGGCAUGUAGGUGAAGUCCCUUGCGGAUGGAGCUGAAGCCAGUCGAAGAUACCAGCUGGCUGCAACUGUUUAAUAAAAACACAGCACUGUGCAAACACGAAAGUGGACGUAUACGGUGUGACGCCUGCCCGGUGCUGGAAGGUUAAUUGAUGGGGUCAGCCGCAAGGCGAAGCUCUUGAUCGAAGCCCCAGUAAACGGCGGCCGUAACUAUAACGGUCCUAAGGUAGCGAAAUUCCUUGUCGGGUAAGUUCCGACCUGCACGAAUGGCGUAAUGAUGGCCAGGCUGUCUCCACCCGAGACUCAGUGAAAUUGAACUCGCUGUGAAGAUGCAGUGUACCCGCGGCAAGACGGAAAGACCCCGUGAACCUUUACUAUAGCUUGACACUGAACAUUGAGCCUUGAUGUGUAGGAUAGGUGGGAGGCUUUGAAGCGUGGACGCCAGUCUGCGUGGAGCCAUCCUUGAAAUACCACCCUUUAAUGUUUGAUGUUCUAACUCGGCCCCGUGAUCCGGGGUGAGGACAGUGUCUGGUGGGUAGUUUGACUGGGGCGGUCUCCUCCCAAAGAGUAACGGAGGAGCACGAAGGUUAGCUAAUCACGGUCGGACAUCGUGAGGUUAGUGCAAAGGCAUAAGCUAGCUUGACUGCGAGAGUGACGGCUCGAGCAGGUACGAAAGUAGGUCUUAGUGAUCCGGUGGUUCUGAAUGGAAGGGCCAUCGCUCAACGGAUAAAAGGUACUCCGGGGAUAACAGGCUGAUACCGCCCAAGAGUUCAUAUCGACGGCGGUGUUUGGCACCUCGAUGUCGGCUCAUCACAUCCUGGGGCUGAAGUAGGUCCCAAGGGUAUGGCUGUUCGCCAUUUAAAGUGGUACGCGAGCUGGGUUUAGAACGUCGUGAGACAGUUCGGUCCCUAUCUGCCGUGGGCGUUGGAAGAUUGAGAGGGGUUGCUCCUAGUACGAGAGGACCGGAGUGAACGCACCACUGGUGUUCGGGUUGUCAUGCCAAUGGCAUUGCCCGGUAGCUAAGUGCGGAAAAGAUAAGCGCUGAAAGCAUCUAAGCGCGAAACUUGCCUCAAGAUGAGUCUUCCCUUGGACUUUGA
This 2790-nucleotide ribosomal RNA is filed under the name Serratia marcescens. RNAcentral's name for it is "bacterial LSU rRNA". It matches the Rfam family "Bacterial large subunit ribosomal RNA". The record is from RNAcentral. Lineage: Bacteria; Pseudomonadati; Pseudomonadota; Gammaproteobacteria; Enterobacterales; Yersiniaceae.